This 1377-nucleotide ribosomal RNA is filed under the name uncultured bacterium. RNAcentral's name for it is "partial 16S ribosomal RNA". It matches the Rfam family "Bacterial small subunit ribosomal RNA". The record is from RNAcentral.
AGAGUUUGAUCCUGGCUCAGGAUGAACGUUGGCGGUGUGCCUAAUACAUGCAAGUCGAACGGUGACGAUUUUGUAGCAAUACGAAUGAAAUCAUAGUGGCGAACGGGUGAGUAACGCGUUGGUGAUCUGCCUCGAAGUGUGGAAUAACUUCCCGAAAGGGUAGCUAAUACCGCAUAGUCUCUCAAGGUUUAGAAAAUUGAGAGUAAAGGAUUUAUUCGCUUCGAGAGGAGCCUGCGUCCCAUCAGCUAGUUGGUAGGGUAAUAGCCUACCAAGGCAAUGACGGGUAGGGGACCUGAGAGGGUGGCCCCCCACAAUGGAACUGAAACACGGUCCAUACACCUACGGGUGGCAGCAGUAGGGAAUAUUAGAAAUGGGCGAAAGCCUGAUCUAGCAACACCGCGUGUGCGAUGAAGGCCUUCGGGUUGUAAAGCACUUUUUGGAGGGAAUAGGAAGGAAGGUACCUCCAGAAUAAGGAUCGGCUAACUCCGUGCCAGCAGCCGCGGUAAUACGGAGGAUCCGAGCGUUAUCCGGAUUUAUUGGGUUUAAAGGGUGCGUAGGCGGAAAUGUAAGUCAGUGGUGAAAUCCUGCAGCUUAACUGUAGAAUAGCCGUUGAAACUGUGUUUCUUGAGUACAUUUGAGGUAGGCGGAAUGUGGUGUGUAGCGGUGAAAUGCUUAGAUAUCACACAGAACACCGAUUGCGAAGGCAGCACACUAAGUCAUUAUUGACGCUGAGGCACGAAAGUGUGGGGAUCAAACAGGAUUAGAUACCCUGGUAGUCCACACUGUAAACGAUGAUAACUCGCUGUCGGCGAUACACAGUCGGUGGCCAAGCGAAAGCAUUAAGUUAUCCACCUGGGGAGUACGACCGCAAGGUUGAAACUCAAAGGAAUUGACGGGGGCCCGCACAAGCGGAGGAACAUGUGGUUUAAUUCGAUGAUACGCGAGGAACCUUACCUGGGCUUAAAUGGGAAGUGACAGUUUUGGAAACAAAAUUUUCUUCGGACACUUUUCAAGGUGCUGCAUGGUUGUCGUCAGCUCGUGCCGUGAGGUGUCGGGUUAAGUCCCAUAACGAGCGCAACCCUUGCCGUUAGUUGCCAUCGGGUCAUGCCGGGCACUCUAUUGGGACUGCCAUCGUAAGAUGUGAGGAAGGUGGGGAUGACGUCAAAUCAGCACGGCCCUUACGUCCGGGGCGACACACGUGUUACAAUGGGUGGUACAAAGGGCAGCUACAUGGCGACAUGAUGCUAAUCUCCAAAACCACUCUCAGUUCGGAUCGGAGUCUGCAACUCGACUUCGUGAAGCUGGAUUCGCUAGUAAUCGCGCAUCAGCAUGGCGCGAUGAAUCCGUUCCCAGGCCUUGUACACACCGCCCGUCAAG